AUGUGUUUGGGCGAAAAUAGG
RNAcentral lists this microRNA (21 nucleotides) under Salicornia europaea (common glasswort). RNAcentral describes it as "seu-miR11046". The record is from miRBase by way of RNAcentral. Lineage: Eukaryota; Viridiplantae; Streptophyta; Magnoliopsida; Caryophyllales; Amaranthaceae.